GUCGCAAGAUUAAAACUCAAAUGAAUUGACGGGGGCCCGCACAAGCGGUGGAGCAUGUGGUUUAAUUCGAUGCAACGCGAAGAACCUUACCUACUCUUGACAUCCAGAGAACUUUCCAGAGAUGGAUUGGUGCCUUCGGGAACUCUGAGACAGGUGCUGCAUGGCUGUCGUCAGCUCGUGUUGUGAAAUGUUGGGUUAAGUCCCGCAACGAGCGCAACCCUUAUCCUUGUUUGCCAGCACGUAAUGGUGGGAACUCCAGGGAGACUGCCGGUGAUAAACCGGAGGAAGGUGGGGACGACGUCAAGUCAUCAUGGCCCUUACGAGUAGGGCUACACACGUGCUACAAUGGCGUAUACAGAGGGCUGCCAACUAGCGAUAGUGAGCGAAUCCCAGAAAGUACGUCGUAGUCCGGAUUGGAGUCUGCAACUCGACUCCAUGAAGUCGGAAUCGCUAGUAAUCGUGAAUCAGAAUGUCACGGUGAAUACGUUCCCGGGCCUUGUACACACCGCCCGUCACACCAUGGGAGUGGGCUGCACCAGAAGUAGAUAGCUUAACCUUCGGGAGGGCGUUUACCACGGUGUGGUUCAUGACUGGGGUGAAGUCGUAACAAGGUAACCAAGGG
This 622-nucleotide ribosomal RNA is filed under the name Photobacterium rosenbergii. RNAcentral's name for it is "bacterial SSU rRNA". It matches the Rfam family "Bacterial small subunit ribosomal RNA", at positions 885 to 1506 of the family's 1533-position model. RNAcentral also lists the same sequence under 1 other name. The record is from RNAcentral. Lineage: Bacteria; Pseudomonadati; Pseudomonadota; Gammaproteobacteria; Vibrionales; Vibrionaceae.